Molecule: ribosomal RNA, 523 nt
Filed under: uncultured archaeon
Lineage: Archaea
Description: bacterial SSU rRNA
Rfam family: Archaeal small subunit ribosomal RNA
Source: RNAcentral
ACGGGGUGCAGCAGGCGCGAAAACUCCGCAAUACACGAAAGUGUGACGGGGGAACCCCGAGUGCACUCACGCAAGUGAGCGCUUUUGUGAAGUGUAAAUAGCUUCACGAAUAAGAGCUGGGUAAGACCGGUGCCAGCCGCCGCGGUAACACCGGCAGCUCGAGUGGUGAUCACUAUUAUUGGGCCUAAAGCGUCCGUAGCCGGUUUGGUAAGUCCUUGGGCAAAUCCUGUCGCUUAACGGCAGGAAUUCUGAGGAUACUGUCAGACUUGAGGCCGAGAGAGGUCGGAGGUACUUCUGGGGUAGCGGUGAAAUGCUAUAAUCCUAGAGGGACCACCGGUGGCGAAGGCGUCCGACUAGAGCGGGCCUGACGGUAUGGGACGAAAGCCAGGGGAGCGAACGGGAUUAGAUACCCCGGUAGUCCUGGCCGUAAACGCUGUGGGCUAGGUGUUGCAUGCUCUACGAGGGCGUGCAGUGCCGAAGAGAAGUUGAUAAGCCUACCGCCUGGGAAGUACUAUCGCAAGAU